CUGGGAUGUUUUUUUUUGUCUAGCAGUGGCUCAAGUACUAAAUUAAGAUCACCUAGAAUCACCGGGAUUCUUUGUUUAACCAUAUCCAUCCUUUUUAGGACUUUGGUUAUAAAUGGUAAUGAAGAAUGGUUUGGUGCAUAAAGAUGAGCCAUUGUAUAUAUGAUGCUAUCAAUCUCACAAACUACUAUAAUAUAUCUUCCCUCGGUAUCUAGUUCUGUAUAUAUAUUCCUG
This is a non-coding RNA of Pelobates cultripes (western spadefoot toad), 231 nucleotides long. NCBI's taxonomy places the organism in Eukaryota, Metazoa, Chordata, Amphibia, Anura, Pelobatidae. The record is from the annotation of a GenBank genome assembly.